Molecule: ribosomal RNA, 505 nt
Filed under: uncultured bacterium
Lineage: Bacteria
Description: partial 16S ribosomal RNA
Rfam family: Bacterial small subunit ribosomal RNA
Source: RNAcentral
GACGAACGCUGGCGGCGUGCCUAAUACAUGCAAGUAGAACGCACAGUUUAUACCGUAGCUUGCUACACCAUAGACUGUGAGUUGCGAACGGGUGAGUAACGCGUAGGUAACCUGCCUGGUAGCGGGGGAUAACUAUUGGAAACGAUAGCUAAUACCGCAUAAUAUUAAUUAUUGCAUGAUAAUUAAUUGAAAGGUGCAAUUGCACCACUACCAGAUGGACCUGCGUUGUAUUAGCUAGUAGGUGAGGUAACGGCUCACCUAGGCGACGAUACAUAGCCGACCUGAGAGGGUGAUCGGCCACACUGGGACUGAGACACGGCCCAGACUCCUACGGGAGGCAGCAGUAGGGAAUCUUCGGCAAUAGACGAAAGUCUGACCGAGCAACGCCGCGUGAGUGAAGAAGGUUUUCGGAUCGUAAAGCUCUGUUGUAAGAGAAGAACGGGUGUGAGAGUGGAAAGUUCACACUGUGACGGUAGCUUACCAGAAAGGGACGGCUAACUACGUG